RNAcentral lists this long non-coding RNA (429 nucleotides) under Brassica napus (rape). Its description in RNAcentral is "long non-coding RNA (BNAP_LNC006152)". The record is from RNAcentral. Lineage: Eukaryota; Viridiplantae; Streptophyta; Magnoliopsida; Brassicales; Brassicaceae.
UGGUCGAUAGACGAGUUUCCCAAAAUUAUUUUGAAGAUCCCAAAAUUAUUUUGAAGAAAAAAUAUAUGGUUUGCCAAGUACAUAAAUUUAUUGAAAGAUUAGAAUAAUACUGAGUUUAAUUAAUAAUAAAUGAAUAUUUUUAGAACUGAUAAUCCGAUUAAUAUCGGAAAAGAUUUCAUGUUCAACCGGAUCUUGUACAUGUAACUAAAUCUGAACCGAAUCCGACUAAACUCGAACUGAAUCUGAGCCGAAAUUUUAUAAUAUGUGAAUGGAGAUAAAAUUAAUGAACCUAGAAACUCAAAAUUCAGAUGGAUCUGAACUGAAACCCGAUUAAGACCUAGUUACCCAGCCCUAAUUGAAGAAUAGUAUGUUUUUGAUUAAUUUCAGUAGUGUUUUUUUAAAAGAUUUCUAGAUGAAGUUAGAUAUCAG